This 655-nucleotide long non-coding RNA is filed under the name Elaeis guineensis (African oil palm). RNAcentral describes it as "long non-coding RNA (EGUI_LNC032342)". Lineage: Eukaryota; Viridiplantae; Streptophyta; Magnoliopsida; Arecales; Arecaceae. The record is from RNAcentral.
GGCCUUGAUGUUUUCUCCCUCGAUCUUGUAGAGAUGAUGCUCAACUUGCCUUAGAUUCUCCUAUAGAGAAUGAGCAAAGCCUGUGAGGGUCCGAGUUUUGUAGAUUCCCUACAAGCAAAAUAAAAAGGGAGUAAGUUCAAGCAAUUAAGGAUGAACCUUGGACCAUGAAGGCUUGAACUCCUACCUCAAUGAUGGUAUGUCAAGAUAAAGUGAUGGUGCCAUCAAGUACUUGCUUCUUCAACUACUACUCAUUUCUUGGGAGCAUAAGUCUAUUCACCAUCCCCCAACAUAGCUCGAUCUUGCCCCAACUGAAUACUGAGUCAGAUACCAAGACCAACCAGUUAGAUCAAAAAAUUGUUGGCUCAGGCCUGCCCAAUAUAGAUUGGGGAGCAGAGGAUGUAGCUUGAGAAGGCCCUGCAAUGCUACCUAGAGCAACUAUAGACUUAGGCAAGAGAGUGUAGGCCGAGGUGACCUAGGGGUAGUGGAUGAAGUUGGGAGACCUCUGGCACCUCUGGGAUGAAGUUAGGACUUGUCUUUAGAAUAGUCUCAAAGAUCUUCUUGAUCGAGCUCUCUAGUAGUGAAAUGGAAGCCUAUUGAUCAACAUUGAAGAUGGCCUCAAGCACCUCGACAAAAGCUGCUUCCUUGGCGGCACCCA